RNAcentral lists this ribosomal RNA (497 nucleotides) under uncultured bacterium. RNAcentral describes it as "partial 16S ribosomal RNA". It matches the Rfam family "Bacterial small subunit ribosomal RNA", at positions 28 to 507 of the family's 1533-position model. The record is from RNAcentral.
GAUGAACGCUGGCGGCGUGCCUAAUACAUGCAAGUCGAGCGAACAGACGAGGAGCUUGCUCCUCUGACGUUAGCGGCGGACGGGUGAGUAACACGUGGAUAACCUACCUAUAAGACUGGGAUAACUUCGGGAAACCGGAGCUAAUACCGGAUAAUAUAUUGAACCGCAUGGUUCAAUAGUGAAAGACGGUUUUGCUGUCACUUAUAGAUGGAUCCGCGCCGCAUUAGCUAGUCGGUAAGGUGACGGCUUACCAAGGCAACGAUGCGUAGCCGACCUGAGAGGGUGAUCGGCCACACUGGAACUGAGACACGGUCCAGACUCCUACGGGAGGCAGCAGUAGGGAAUCUUCCGCAAUGGGCGAAAGCCUGACGGAGCAACGCCGCGUGAGUGAUGAAGGUCUUCGGAUCGUAAAACUCUGUUAUUAGGGAAGAACAAAUGUGUAAGUAACUAUGCACGUCUUGACGGUACCUAAUCAGAAAGCCACGGCUAACUACGUC